UUAAGUACCGCCCGGUUCUCCGACAGAAUCACAUCCAGUACCACCAAGGCCAAGGAGUAGAGCGUAAAAAUUUGAACGACAGCUCCCGCUCCACUACCUACUAGUUAGUUGUUCGUCGUCCAGUG
Molecule: long non-coding RNA, 125 nt
Organism: Agrilus planipennis (emerald ash borer)
Lineage: Eukaryota; Metazoa; Arthropoda; Insecta; Coleoptera; Buprestidae
Exons: 2
Source: RefSeq, a predicted model, not a curated record